Molecule: unclassified non-coding RNA, 246 nt
Filed under: plant metagenome
Description: partial contains small subunit ribosomal RNA, internal transcribed spacer 1, and 5.8S ribosomal RNA
Rfam family: Eukaryotic small subunit ribosomal RNA (bases 1-54)
Source: RNAcentral
GGAAGUAAAAGUCGUAACAAGAUUUCCGUAGGUGAACCUGCGGAAGGAUCAUUAAAGAAUGCCCCGUUUUUCGAAAUGGGUUCUAUUCCCAAACCGUGUCUACAUACCUUUGUUGCUUUGGCGGGCCGCCUUCGGGCGUUGGCCUCGGCUAACUGUGCCCGCCAGAGGACCCAAACUCGUUUUGUUUAGUGAUGUCUGAGUACUAUAAAAUAGUUAAAACUUUCAACAACGGAUCUCUUGGUUCUG